ACAUUCCUACGGGGCGCAGCAGUGGGGAAUAUUGCACAAUGGGGGAAACCCUGAUGCAGCGACGCCGCGUGAGCGAAGAAGUAUCUCGGUAUGUAAAGCUCUAUCAGCAGGGAAGAAAGAAAUGACGGUACCUGAGUAAGAAGCCCCGGCUAACUACGUGCCAGCAGCCGCGGUAAUACGUAGGUGGCGAGCGUUAUCCGGAAUGAUUGGGCGUAAAGGGUGCGCAGGCGGUCCUGCAAGUCUGG
Molecule: ribosomal RNA, 245 nt
Filed under: uncultured bacterium
Lineage: Bacteria
Description: partial 16S ribosomal RNA
Rfam family: Bacterial small subunit ribosomal RNA
Source: RNAcentral